CAGGCCUAACACAUGCAAGUCGGACGGUAGCACAGAGGAGCUUGCUCCUUGGGUGACGAGUGGCGGACGGGUGAGUAAUGUCUGGGGAUCUGCCCGAUAGAGGGGGAUAACCACUGGAAACGGUGGCUAAUACCGCAUAACGUCGCAAGACCAAAGAGGGGGACCUUCGGGCCUCUCACUAUCGGAUGAACCCAGAUGGGAUUAGCUAGUAGGCGGGGUAAUGGCCCACCUAGGCGACGAUCCCUAGCUGGUCUGAGAGGAUGACCAGCCACACUGGAACUGAGACACGGUCCAGACUCCUACGGGAGGCAGCAGUGGGGAAUAUUGGACAAUGGGCGCAAGCCUGAUCCAGCCAUGCCGCGUGAGUGAUGACGGCCCUAGGGUUGUAAAGCUCUUUUACCUGGGAUGAUAAUGACUGUACCGGGAGAAUAAGCCCCGGCUAACUCCGUGCCAGCAGCCGCGGUAAU
This 467-nucleotide ribosomal RNA is filed under the name uncultured bacterium. RNAcentral's name for it is "bacterial SSU rRNA". It matches the Rfam family "Bacterial small subunit ribosomal RNA", at positions 43 to 524 of the family's 1533-position model. The record is from RNAcentral.